CAUGUCCUUUAGAAUUUAAUUUAAGGUCUAGCCUGCCCACUGAAAUUAAUUUUAAAUGGCCGCAGUAAUUUGACUGUGCAAAGGUAGCAUAAUCAUUAGUUUUUUAAUUGAAAGCUUGUAUGAAAGGUUGGACGAGGUAAAAUCUGUCUCUAAUUAAUUUAAUUUAGAAUUUAACUUUUAAGUUAAAAGGCUUAAAUAUGAUUAAAAGACGAGAAGACCCUAUAGAUCUUUAUAAUUUAUUUAUUAAAUUUAAUUAAGAAUUUUUAAAAUUUUAUUAAUUUAAUUAUUUUAUUGGGGUAAUGUAAAGAUUAAAUUAAUUCUUUUUUUUUAUUAACAUUAAUUUAUGAUUUUAUGAUCCAAUUUUAUUGGCUAUAAGAUUAAGUUACCUUAGGGAUAACAGCGUUAUUUUUUUAGAGAGUUCUUAUCGAUAAAAAAGUUUACGACCUCGAUGUUGGAUUAAAGAUUAUUUUAGGCGCAGAAGUUUAAAAAUUUUGGUCUGUUCGACCAUUAAAUCUUUACAUGAUCUGAGUUCAGACCGGUGUAAGCCAGGUCGGUUUCUAUCUUUAGUAAAUUAAAAUAUUUUAGUACGAAAGGACCAAUUAUUUAAUAUAAAAUAUUUAAAUUUUGAUUAUUAUU
RNAcentral lists this ribosomal RNA (636 nucleotides) under Nebria subdilatata. RNAcentral's name for it is "partial 16S ribosomal RNA". The stretch from base 393 to 552 matches the Rfam family "Bacterial large subunit ribosomal RNA", at positions 2473 to 2632 of the family's 2925-position model. Lineage: Eukaryota; Metazoa; Arthropoda; Insecta; Coleoptera; Carabidae. The record is from RNAcentral.